UACGGAAGGCAGCAGUGGGGAAUAUUGGACAAUGGGCGAAAGCCUGAUCCAGCCAUGCCGCAUGAGUGAAGAAGGCCUUCGGGUUGUAAAGCUCUUUUAGUGAGAAAGAUAAUGACGGUACUCACAGAAGAAGUCCUGGCUAACUCCGUGCCAGCAGCCGCGGUAAUACGGAGAGGGCUAGCGUUAUUCGGAAUUAUUGGGCGUAAAGAGCGCGUAGGCUGAUUAGUAAGUUAAAAGUGAAAUCCCAAAGCUUAACUUUGGAAUUGCUUUUUAAAACUGCUAGUCUAGAGAUUGAAAGAGGAUAGAGGAAUUCCUAGUGUAGAGGUGAAAUUCGUAAAUAUUAGGAGGAACACCAGUGGCGAAGGCGUCUAUCUGGUUCAAAUCUGACGCUGAGGCGCGAAGGGCGUGGGGAGCGAAACAGGGAUUAGGAUACC
Molecule: ribosomal RNA, 434 nt
Filed under: uncultured bacterium
Lineage: Bacteria
Description: bacterial SSU rRNA
Rfam family: Bacterial small subunit ribosomal RNA
Source: RNAcentral